GAACGCUGGCGGCAGGCUUAACACAUGCAAGUCGAGCGGGGGGAGGUAGCUUGCUACCUAACCUAGCGGCGGACGGGUGAGUAAUGCUUAGGAAUCUGCCUAUUAGUGGGGGACAACAUUUCGAAAGGGAUGCUAAUACCGCAUACGCCCUAAGGGGGAAAGCAGGGGAUCUUCGGACCUUGCGCUAAUAGAUGAGCCUAAGUCGGAUUAGCUAGUUGGUGGGGUAAAGGCCUACCAAGGCGACGAUCUGUAGCGGGUCUGAGAGGAUGAUCCGCCACACUGGGACUGAG
This 290-nucleotide ribosomal RNA is filed under the name Acinetobacter johnsonii. RNAcentral's name for it is "partial 16S rRNA". It matches the Rfam family "Bacterial small subunit ribosomal RNA", at positions 31 to 323 of the family's 1533-position model. The record is from RNAcentral. Lineage: Bacteria; Pseudomonadati; Pseudomonadota; Gammaproteobacteria; Moraxellales; Moraxellaceae.